GCCUGGCUGGCUCAGUUGGUAGAGCAUGCAACUCUUGAUCUCAGGGUUUGUGAGUUCAAGCCCCAUGUUGGGCA
Molecule: transfer RNA, 74 nt
Filed under: Felis catus (domestic cat)
Lineage: Eukaryota; Metazoa; Chordata; Mammalia; Carnivora; Felidae
Also listed under: 3 other names
Rfam family: tRNA
About the family: Transfer RNA (tRNA) molecules are approximately 80 nucleotides in length.
Source: Rfam by way of RNAcentral